Molecule: ribosomal RNA, 254 nt
Filed under: uncultured bacterium
Lineage: Bacteria
Description: partial 16S ribosomal RNA
Rfam family: Bacterial small subunit ribosomal RNA
Source: RNAcentral
CACGUAGGCACCAAGCGUUGUCCGGAUUUAUUGGGCGUAAAGAGCUCGUAGGCGGUUCGGUAAGUCGGGUGUGAAAUCCCUGGGCUCAACCCAGGAAGUGCACCCGAUACUGCUGUGACUUGAGUACGGUAGGGGAGUGCGGAAUUCCUGGUGUAGCGGUGGAAUGCGCAGAUAUCAGGAGGAACACCAAUGGCGAAGGCAGCACUCUGGGCCGAAACUGACGCUGAGGAGCGAAAGCGUGGGGAGCGAACAGG